RNAcentral lists this ribosomal RNA (412 nucleotides) under uncultured Rhizophagus. Its description in RNAcentral is "partial 28S ribosomal RNA". The record is from RNAcentral. Lineage: Eukaryota; Fungi; Glomeromycota; Glomeromycetes; Glomerales; Glomeraceae.
GAGAGUUAAACAGUACGUGAAAUUGUUGAAAGGGAAACGAUUGAAGCCAGUCGUACCUUCGGGUAAUCAGCCUUUUGGGUGUGAUUUUGUGGAGCGUGAAGAGUUAAACGCCUUCAUGCCUGCAUAUUCGUGCACUUUGGGUGUACUUGCCCGUAUGGUUGGUUAACAUCAAUUUUGGUGGUCAUAAAAUGACUGGAGGAAUGUAGCUUCGAUCUCGUAUUGAAGUGUUAUAGCCUUCGGUAGAUGUGAUGAUCGAGAUUGAGGAUUGCAACGGAUACCCUUCGGGGCUACCUGUCUGAUCUCUGAUCGUUGCUCUGGUGCCGAAAGCUUGCUUACGGUUAUCAAAGUCGAUGGUCAAUAGGUUAGAACGGGUUAAAUUCGUUAAGGAUGUUGACGUAAUGGCUUUAAACGA